UUAAGUUCAGCGGGUAUUCCUACCUGAUCCGAGGUCAACCUAUAAAAAUUGGGGUGUUUUACGGCAGGGGACCGGCCCGCGCUACAGGCGACGUGUAAAAGCUACUACGUCUGGAGUGCGAACCGGCUCCGCCACUGACUUUGGGGAGCUACCAGAGAGUUCCGGUAGGCUCCUAACGCUAAGCAACAGGGGCUUAAGGG
This 200-nucleotide unclassified non-coding RNA is filed under the name Nemania sp. RNAcentral describes it as "partial internal transcribed spacer 2". Lineage: Eukaryota; Fungi; Ascomycota; Sordariomycetes; Xylariales; Xylariaceae. The record is from RNAcentral.